UCAUUUAAAUUUAAAUUAAAAUUUUAUUUUUUAGUCAAAAAGCUAAAAUUUUAUUAAAAGACGAGAAGACCCUAUAAAUCUUUAUAUUUAUAUUUAUUUUAAUUUUUAAGGAUUAAUUUUAUUAUAAUAAAGAUAAAUAUUUUAUUGGGGUGAUAUUAAAAUUUAAUUAACUUUUAAUUUGUAUAUUACAUUGAUUUAUGAUUUAUUGAUCCAUUAAUAAUGAUUAGAAAAUUAAGUUACUUUAGGGAUAACAGCGUAAUUUUUUUGGAGAGUUCUUAUCGAUAAAAAAGUUUGCGACCUCGAUGUUGGAUUAAGAGAUAGUUUUAAUGCAGAAGUUAAAAUGUAAAGUCUGUUCGACUUUUAAAUUCUUACAUGAUCUGAGUUCAAACCGGUGUGAGCCAGGUUGGUUUCUAUCUUUAAUUUUAUAUAAUAUUUUAGUACGAAAGGAAUUUAUAUUAGAAAUAAUUUUUAGUUAAUGAAU
This 481-nucleotide ribosomal RNA is filed under the name Diasemopsis sp. M. Its description in RNAcentral is "partial 16S ribosomal RNA". The stretch from base 247 to 405 matches the Rfam family "Bacterial large subunit ribosomal RNA", at positions 2473 to 2632 of the family's 2925-position model. Lineage: Eukaryota; Metazoa; Arthropoda; Insecta; Diptera; Diopsidae. The record is from RNAcentral.